AGUGAACGCUGGCGGUAGGCCUAACACAUGCAAGUCGAACGGCAGCACAGUAAGAGCUUGCUCUUACGGGUGGCGAGUGGCGGACGGGUGAGGAAUACAUCGGAAUCUACUUUUUCGUGGGGGAUAACGUAGGGAAACUUACGCUAAUACCGCAUACGACCUACGGGUGAAAGCAGGGGAUCUUCGGACCUUGCGCGAUUGAAUGAGCCGAUGUCGGAUUAGCUAGUUGGCGGGGUAAAGGCCCACCAAGGCGACGAUCCGUAGCUGGUCUGAGAGGAUGAUCAGCCACCCUGGAACUGAGACACGGUCCAGACUCCUACGGGAGGCAGCAGUGGGGAAUAUUGGACAAUGGGCGCAAGCCUGAUCCAGCCAUACCGCGUGGGUGAAGAAGGCCUUCGGGUUGUAAAGCCCUUUUGUUGGGAAAGAAAAGCAGCAGGUUAAUACCCCGCUGUUCUGACGGUACCCAAAGAAUAAGCACCGGCGAACUUCGG
RNAcentral lists this ribosomal RNA (491 nucleotides) under uncultured bacterium. Its description in RNAcentral is "partial 16S ribosomal RNA". It matches the Rfam family "Bacterial small subunit ribosomal RNA", at positions 29 to 506 of the family's 1533-position model. The record is from RNAcentral.